Poecilia reticulata (guppy) is the source of this 651-nucleotide non-coding RNA. NCBI's taxonomy places the organism in Eukaryota, Metazoa, Chordata, Actinopteri, Cyprinodontiformes, Poeciliidae. The record is from RefSeq and is a predicted model, not a curated record.
GCCACAGUGAAACACACGGAGAUAAAACAGAGCCGAUAGUGGCGUUAGCUUUUCUUUUCUUUUUUUUUCUUUGAAGAAUUUAAAGAAAUCAACAUGAAGUCCGAUGAAAAGAUGGAGGAUCAGCGCAGACUGCUGGGUUUCAGCCGGAUACCGAAGAUCAUCUUACACCGGAUAGAUUUUUUAUACACAAGACAGUGAUAGCAAAACGUGUUUCAGACAGAAUGGAUCAGGAGAGGAAAACUACAGAACCUGAAGAACCAGGCACCAGUGUGUCUUCAUCCCUCAAUCAUCUCCUGAGACUGAAAAAUAAUAGAAAUGGCAACUUAAAGAACAAAUCUUACUAAUAAAUUAAUAGAGUAAAUAAAUAUCGCGAAGGGAAAUUGUUAAUUUUUUUCUGCAUUAAAGUUUGUUAGGGCUUUCAGUGUAGGAAAAAUGUUGAUAUCUUUUAUAAAUACGAUGUUCUGUGGUCAAUAUUAUUUCCCCAUUAUUUUAUUAAUGUAGGUUGCUUGUUUGGAUAACCUUCAUUCUUAUCAGGCUGUAAAAAUGAAGUAAAACAUGGUAACAAAAUGCCUCAGACCUGCAGCCUACCGGUGGUUCCAGACAGGUGGAAGUGGCUCUUUGGCUCACUUAUAUAUUAAAUGAUGAAAUAUU